This 497-nucleotide ribosomal RNA is filed under the name uncultured bacterium. Its description in RNAcentral is "partial 16S ribosomal RNA". It matches the Rfam family "Bacterial small subunit ribosomal RNA", at positions 28 to 507 of the family's 1533-position model. The record is from RNAcentral.
GAUGAACGCUGGCGGCGUGCCUAAUACAUGCAAGUAGAACGCUGAAGGAAGGAGCUUGCUCUUUCCGGAUGAGUUGCGAACGGGUGAGUAACGCGUAGGUAACCUGCCUGGUAGCGGGGGAUAACUAUUGGAAACGAUAGCUAAUACCGCAUAACAGUAGAUGUUGCAUGAUAUCUACUUAAAAGGUGCAAUUGCACCACUACCAGAUGGACCUGCGUUGUAUUAGCUAGUUGGUGAGGUAACGGCUCACCAAGGCGACGAUACAUAGCCGACCUGAGAGGGUGAUCGGCCCCACUGGGACUGGGACACGGCCCAGACUCCUACGGGAGGCAGCAGUAGGGAAUCUUCGGCAAUGGACGGAAGUCUGACCGGGCAACGCCGCGUGAGUGGAGAAGGUUUUCGGAUCGUAAAGCUCUGUUGUAAGAGAAGAACGAGUGUGAGAGUGGAAAGUUCACACUGUGACGGUAUCUUACCAGAAAGGGACGGCUAACUACGUG